GUCGAAGUAUUUUCCUGUUUUUGCAGUUGAUUCAAAGCAUUACAGGAGCUUGCCAGACAAGCGAACGACCGUAGAAAUACGUGCCGGUUCGAGUCCGGCCUUCGGCACCA
This 110-nucleotide transfer RNA is filed under the name Escherichia coli. RNAcentral describes it as "tRNA-OTHER". The record is from RNAcentral. Lineage: Bacteria; Pseudomonadati; Pseudomonadota; Gammaproteobacteria; Enterobacterales; Enterobacteriaceae. RNAcentral also lists the same sequence under 11 other names.